AGAAUCUUUCACAAUGGGGGCAACCCUGAUGGAGCGACGCCGCGUGGGGGAUGAAUGGCUUCGGCUAGUAAACCCCUGUCAUCUGUGAACAAAUGCUUCCGGUAAACAGCCGUAAGAACUGAUAGUAGCAGAAGAGGACGGGACGGAUAACUCCGUGCCAGCAGCCGCGGUAAUACGGAGGUCCCAAGCGUUGUUCGGAUUCACUGGGCGUAAAGGGUGCGUAGGCGGUCGGGAAAGUUCGAUGUGAAAUCUCCGGGCUCAACUUGGAAAUUGCAUUGAAAACUAUCCGGCUAGAGGAUUGUAUGGGAGACUGGAAUUCUCGGUGUAGCAGUGAAAUGCGUAGAUAUCGAGAGGAACACCAGUGGCGAAGGCGAGUCUCUGGACAAUUCCUGACGCUGAGGCACGAAAGCUAGGGGAGCAAAC
RNAcentral lists this ribosomal RNA (423 nucleotides) under uncultured bacterium. RNAcentral's name for it is "bacterial SSU rRNA". It matches the Rfam family "Bacterial small subunit ribosomal RNA", at positions 358 to 773 of the family's 1533-position model. The record is from RNAcentral.